CCUACGGGAGGCAGCAGUAGGGAAUAUUGCUCAAUGGGGGAAACCCUGAAGCAGCAACGCCGCGUGGAGGAUGAAGGUUCUCGGAUUGUAAACUCCCUUUGUUAGAGAAGAUAAUGACGGUAUCUAACGAAUAAGCACCGGCUAACUCCGUGCCAGCAGCCGCGGUAAUACGGAGGGUGCAAGCGUUACUCGGAAUCACUGGGCGUAAAGAGCGCGUAGGCGGGAUAGCAAGUCAGAUGUGAAAUCCUAUGGCUUAACCAUAGAACUGCAUUUGAAACUGUUAUUCUUGAGUAUGGGAGAGGUAGGUGGAAUUCUUGGUGUAGGGGUAAAAUCCGUAGAGAUCAAGAGGAAUACUCAUUGCGAAGGCGACCUGCUAGAACAUAACUGACGCUGAUGCGCGAAAGCGUGGGGAGCAAACAGGAUUAGAUACCCUUGUAGUC
Molecule: ribosomal RNA, 440 nt
Filed under: uncultured bacterium
Lineage: Bacteria
Description: partial 16S ribosomal RNA
Rfam family: Bacterial small subunit ribosomal RNA
Source: RNAcentral